This 89-nucleotide non-coding RNA is filed under the name Pseudomonas sp. A214. Lineage: Bacteria; Pseudomonadati; Pseudomonadota; Gammaproteobacteria; Pseudomonadales; Pseudomonadaceae. The record is from RNAcentral.
CUUGAUGGUGGCUGUACGCAGGGCGCCCUCGGGCGCGCCGGAUUUCGUGUCUCCGCCGGUCGACUAACCUGCGUCCAGCCGCCUCCCUU